This 822-nucleotide ribosomal RNA is filed under the name Tubeufia guangxiensis. RNAcentral describes it as "eukaryotic LSU rRNA". It matches the Rfam family "Eukaryotic large subunit ribosomal RNA", at positions 75 to 922 of the family's 3401-position model. The record is from RNAcentral. Lineage: Eukaryota; Fungi; Ascomycota; Dothideomycetes; Tubeufiales; Tubeufiaceae.
UUGCCUCAGUAACGGCGAGUGAAGCGGCAAUAGCUCAAAUUUGAAAUCUGCUCUUUGAGCCGAAUUGUAAUUUGUAGAGGAUGCUUCGGCUUACGUUUCGGUCUAAGUUCCUUGGAACAGGACGUCAUAGAGGGUGAGAAUCCCGUCUGUGGCCGAGACUUCCGCCAUGUGAAGCUCCUUCGACGAGUCGAGUUGUUUGGGAAUGCAGCUCUAAAUGGGAGGUAUAUUUCUUCUAAAGCUAAAUACCGGCCAGAGACCGAUAGCGCACAAGUAGAGUGAUCGAAAGAUGAAAAGCACUUUGGAAAGAGAGUUAAAAAGUACGUGAAAUUGUUGAAAGGGAAGCGUUUGCGACCAGACUUGCCCGCGGAUGCUCAACCGGUCCUUCGGCCGGUGCACUCUUCCGCGGUCAGGCCAGCAUCAGUUCGAGUAGCCAGAUAAAGGCAUUGGGAAUGUGGCUCUCUUCGGGGAGUGUUAUAGCCCUUUGUGUAAUAUGGUUCAUUUGGACUGAGGCCCGCGCUUCGGCUAGGAUGCUGGCGUAAUGGUCGUAAGCGGCCCGUCUUGAAACACGGACCAAGGAGUCUAACAUCUAUGCGAGUGUUUGGGUGUCAAACCCGUGCGCGAAAUGAAAGUGAACGGAGGUGGGAACCUUUGGGUGCACCAUCGACCGAUCCUGAUGUCUUCGGAUGGAUUUGAGUAAGAGCAUAGCUGUUGGGACCCGAAAGAUGGUGAACUAUGCCUGAAUAGGGUGAAGCCAGAGGAAACUCUGGUGGAGGCUCGCAGCGGUUCUGACGUGCAAAUCGAUCGUCAAAUUUGGGUAUAGGG